RNAcentral lists this ribosomal RNA (604 nucleotides) under Rhodoferax antarcticus. RNAcentral's name for it is "bacterial SSU rRNA". It matches the Rfam family "Bacterial small subunit ribosomal RNA", at positions 66 to 663 of the family's 1533-position model. Lineage: Bacteria; Pseudomonadati; Pseudomonadota; Betaproteobacteria; Burkholderiales; Comamonadaceae. The record is from RNAcentral.
ACGGCAGCAUAGGUGCUUGCACCUGAUGGCGAGUGGCGAACGGGUGAGUAAUGCAUCGGAACGUGCCCAAUCGUGGGGGAUAACGCAGCGAAAGCUGUGCUAAUACCGCAUACGAUCUACGGAUGAAAGCGGGGGACCUUCGGGCCUCGCGCGAUUGGAGCGGCCGAUGUUAGAUUAGGUAGUUGGUGGGGUAAAGGCUCACCAAGCCGACGAUCUAUAGCUGGUCUGAGAGGACGACCAGCCACACUGGAACUGAGACACGGUCCAGACUCCUACGGGAGGCAGCAGUGGGGAAUUUUGGACAAUGGGCGAAAGCCUGAUCCAGCAAUACCGCGUGCAGGAAGAAGGCCUUCGGGUUGUAAACUGCUUUUGUACGGAACGAAAAGGCUCUUUCUAAUAAAGAGGGCUCAUGACGGUACCGUAAGAAUAAGCACCGGCUAACUACGUGCCAGCAGCCGCGGUAAUACGUAGGGUGCAAGCGUUAAUCGGAAUUACUGGGCGUAAAGCGUGCGCAGGCGGUUUUGUAAGACAGGCGUGAAAUCCCCGGGCUCAACCUGGGAAUUGCGCUUGUGACUGCAAGGCUAGAGUACGGUAGAGGGGGGUA